RNAcentral lists this ribosomal RNA (519 nucleotides) under uncultured bacterium. Its description in RNAcentral is "partial 16S ribosomal RNA". It matches the Rfam family "Bacterial small subunit ribosomal RNA", at positions 28 to 507 of the family's 1533-position model. The record is from RNAcentral.
GACGAACGCUGGCGGCGUGCCUAAUACAUGCAAGUCGAGCGAGCUUGCCUAGAUCUUGUUCGUCUUUGGACCACAUGAAACUAGAGACAAGCGAGCGGCGAACCUGUCAGUAAGACUUGGGUAACCUCCCCAAAACACUGCUAUAACACCUGGAAAUAGUUGCUCAUAUCGGUCAACAGUAAUAGACGCAUGUGCAGACUCUAAUAGAUGGAUCUGCUAUGCAUCUUGUAUGUACCUGCGUUGCAUUAGCUAGUUGGUAAGGCAACGGCUUACCAAGGCAAUGAUGCAUAGCCGAGUUGAGAGACUGAUCGGCCACAUUGGAACUGAGACACGGUCCAGACUCCUACGGGAGGCAGCAGUAGGGAAUCUUCCGCAAUGGGCGAAAGUCUGAUGGAGCAACGCCGCGUGAGUGAAGAAGGGUUUCGGCUCGUAAAGCUCUGUUGGUAGUGAAGAACGAUAGUGGAAGUAACUGGGCAUUUUUUGACGGUACUUAAUCAGAAAGCCACGGCUAACUACGUG